This 478-nucleotide ribosomal RNA is filed under the name uncultured bacterium. Its description in RNAcentral is "SSU rRNA". It matches the Rfam family "Bacterial small subunit ribosomal RNA", at positions 26 to 518 of the family's 1533-position model. The record is from RNAcentral.
AGGACGAACGCUGGCGGCGUGCUUAACACAUGCAAGUCGAGCGACGCUCCUCCUUCGGGAGGAUGACGGAGCGGCGAACGGGUGAGUAACACGUGGGUAACCUGCCCCUAGCUCUGGGAUAACCCCGGGAAAUCGGGACUAAUACCGGAUAUGAAGUCGGACGGCAUCUUCUGACUUGGAAAGUUUUUCGGCUAGGGAUGGGCCCGCGGCCUAUCAGCUUGUUGGUGGGGUAACGGCCUACCAAGGCGACGACGGGUAGCCGGCCUGAGAGGGCGACCGGCCACACUGGGACUGAGACACGGCCCAGACUCCUACGGGAGGCAGCAGUGGGGAAUAUUGCACAAUGGGCGAAAGCCUGAUGCAGCGACGCCGCGUGAGGGAUGACUGCCUUCGGGUUGUAAACCUCUUUCAGCAGGGACGAAGCGAAAGUGACGGUACCUGCAGAAGAAGCACCGGCCAACUACGUGCCAGCAGCCGC